CGAGUCGACGUUGUCUGAUAUUGAAUGUCUUAUAUUUUUUUUUGCUUUUGGUUGUUUUUGGCUAAGUAUUGUUGUGGUUUUUGUAUUGUUAAUGAUUUAAUUAUUUUUGUUAUAGUUAUUGGUACUGUGAGGGGUGGAAUGUUAUGAUUUUUUUAUAAGUUGAUUUUGUUUAUUGUACCUUGUGUAUCAGGGUUUAUUAAUUUUUAUUAUUUAUUUUUUAUUUCCCGAUUUUAGAGGAGUUAAUGAUUUAUGUUAGUUACUGUUUCAUCAGUAUUAAUAAUAAUUUGUUGGUGGUGAAAUGUCAUUCGGUUCUAUAGGUAUCUGGUUUCCUAGGAAACAAAUUUAAUUUUCACUCUAUAUGUAGUUGUUCUUUCUUUUAUUGUAGGAUUUAAUAUUGGGUGAGGAUUCUGGGGGAUAAGCUUCAGUUUUUAUUUUUAUAAUGCUUUCUUUUUUUAAUUUUUGUGGGCUUUAAGUUGGCUAUCGAUAUGAUUAUGUUAAAAUUUUACUUGCUCCUUUUUUGAAUUUAUUUUGUAUUUAAUUUUUUAUUAGGAUGUUUAGUUUGCUUUUUUCUCUAUUGUGAUUUUGAUGGGAUUAGUAUAUUAAUUUUUAUUUUGUUAUUUGUGCUGUUGGUUUUUUGAAAGGAACUAGGCAAAUAUUUAGUGCUCGUUUGUUUAACAAAAACAUUUCCUCUUGAUAAGUUUGUGAGGUAUGACCUGCCCGCUGAUUAAUUGAAGGGCCGCGGUAUUUUGACCGUGCAAAGGUAGCAUAAUCAUUAGUUCUUUAAUUGUGGACUGGUAUGAAUGGUUUGACGAGGUAUUAACUGUCUUUUGUGAAUUGUAUUUGAAUUUAUGGCUUGGGUAAGAAUACCUAGAUUUUUUUAUGGGACGAGAAGACCCUAUAGAGUUUGACAUGGUAAUGAUUAUUUUUGUUAUUGUUUUUCUUUAUGGUCCUUUUAUGUUUUGUUGGGGUGAUGAGAAGAUAAUAUAAACUCUUCUUUGUUAUUGUUAUACUUAUUUGUAUUGUUUUUGAUCCUUUAUUAUUGAUUGUAAGAUUAAAUUACCUUAGGGAUAACAGCGUAAUCCUUUUUGAGAGUUCUUAUCGACAAGAGGGUUUGCGACCUCGAUGUUGGAUUAAGGUAAAUAUUUGGCGUAGAGGCUGAAGUGUUUAUUAGGUCUGUUCGACCUUUAAAACCUUACAUGAUCUGAGUUCAAACCGGUGUGAGCCAGGUUGGUUUCUAUCUAUAAAUUUUUUUUGCUAUUUCUUAGUACGAGAGGACCAGAAAUUUUGAAUAAUUCUAUGUUUAUGAUUUUUAUUAAUUACUAAUUUGGCAGAUAAGUGCGGUGGAUUUAGAAUCUAUUUAUGUGGUUAAGUACACAU
This 1377-nucleotide ribosomal RNA is filed under the name Glyptotermes sp. C TB-2014. Its description in RNAcentral is "16S ribosomal RNA". The stretch from base 877 to 1245 matches the Rfam family "Archaeal large subunit ribosomal RNA", at positions 2149 to 2717 of the family's 2987-position model. Lineage: Eukaryota; Metazoa; Arthropoda; Insecta; Blattodea; Kalotermitidae. The record is from RNAcentral.